UGAGGUCAGGCAAGAACACCCG
RNAcentral lists this ribosomal RNA (22 nucleotides) under Trebouxia jamesii. RNAcentral's name for it is "partial 26S ribosomal RNA". Lineage: Eukaryota; Viridiplantae; Chlorophyta; Trebouxiophyceae; Trebouxiales; Trebouxiaceae. The record is from RNAcentral.